AGGAAAAAUAAUUGCAAAGAGUAGCAGAGGGGAUAAAAUAAAUAACCGAUUUUUAAUUUUUUAUUAAAAAAAUCUUAAUACGAAUAAUCAGUUCUUCAAUCAAUUCAUAUCCUGAAACUAACUUAAAGUCUUAGUGGGUGCACUUAACUACUAUGAUUCAUCACGCUGGGUUUUCAAAAUUUCAUGAAUAAAUAAUUGAAAACUAAAUUUCUUAAGUCAAGGACACCAACAAUAUCCUUACUCGAUUUUCUUUAAUAAUUGGUUUUAUAAAAAGAACUAAUUAAAUCAUGAAUACUUUUAUUGCAUGAUGCAAAUGCAUACUUAGCAUAUGGUAAGUAAUUUACUUAAAAUAUGCACAUAAUAAUAAUAUGAUAUUAUUAUGAAAUCAUCCUUUAAAAAAAAAAUAAAAAUAAACACAAUGUUAAUUAAAAGCAAAGGCCGAAUCUCAAUUAAAUAAGAAUAGCCCAUUUUAAAAUUAUUAGGUAGCAGCCCAACUAAAAACAAUAGACAUGGCCCAAUUAAAUAAUAAAAACGGGCCCAACACUCAUAAAAAUCGGCCCAAGCCCCGGCCCAACAGACCAGCCCAGCAACUUAAACCCUACCCUUCCUUUCUUCAUCCCUAGCUGCGCUGCGCCCCCAUCCACUCUCUCUCUCUCUCUUCACGCCAGAAAUCCGCCCCCUUCUCCCUCGGAAAUCCGCCGCCGCCGAAGCUUGCCGGAGCAACAGCGACAGCCGCUGACGACGCUCGGCUCUCCCUCCUCAGGUCGACGGCAGCAAGGCCGCCGGCCAUCACCCCUCUUCUCACUCAAACAAAACCCACACACGUUGACGCACCUUGCGCCGCUCACGGCCCCGGCGAGGAGCGCAGCGACGAGCCGCCGUUCCACUACUCCUCAGACUCGACUCUCACACGCAAACAUAUGCAGCAUCCCGACUCGAUGCACCACCAAUUCAAAAGCAGAGACUAAAAUUCAAGACUCUCUAUCUUUCUUCUUUUUCUUCAAUCAUGCUUCAUAUAUAUAUAAACAUGUACACAGAUUGUAUGCAUUUAUGUAAAUAAUUUGUGAAUGUCAUUUUGUUCAAUCACUUAUAUGUAUAAUCUAUAGAUGCUAUGUGGAA
Molecule: long non-coding RNA, 1119 nt
Organism: Salvia miltiorrhiza (redroot sage)
Lineage: Eukaryota; Viridiplantae; Streptophyta; Magnoliopsida; Lamiales; Lamiaceae
Exons: 2
Source: RefSeq, a predicted model, not a curated record